Non-coding RNA from Parasteatoda tepidariorum (common house spider), 187 nucleotides. Lineage: Eukaryota; Metazoa; Arthropoda; Arachnida; Araneae; Theridiidae. The record is from RefSeq and is a predicted model, not a curated record.
CUGAAGGCGUUUCACGAGGCUUCUUGUACGGAUGAGUCAUUGGAAUAUUUAGUAAAAUACUAUAUCCGAUCAGUGUUUCUGAAAGAUCCAUGUCCCACUACACCUCCUCCUACUGAGGAGGAAAGCUACGAAGAUGAAUCAGAUGAAUCUGGUGUCACGUGUAGUCCUGAUGGAUACGAUAAAGCAG